Molecule: RNase P RNA, 661 nt
Filed under: Acidobacteriota bacterium
Lineage: Bacteria; Pseudomonadati; Acidobacteriota
Description: Acidobacteria bacterium RNase P RNA component class A
Rfam family: Bacterial RNase P class A
About the family: Ribonuclease P (RNase P) is a ubiquitous endoribonuclease, found in archaea, bacteria and eukarya as well as chloroplasts and mitochondria. Its best characterised activity is the generation of mature 5'-ends of tRNAs by cleaving the 5'-leader elements of precursor-tRNAs.
Source: RNAcentral
GCAGAAGACCAGACGACCGCUGCCGCGCGGACGUCCUGGGGCGUACGCGUCCCGGGAAACGCCGCGUGGGAGAGGAAAGUCCGAACUCCGCAGGGCAGUGCGCCGGGUAACGCCCGGUCAGGGUGACCUGAAGGAAAGUGGCACAGAAAAUAUACCGCCCGACUUCGCGCCUUCGGCGCUUCGUCGGGGCAGGCCCCUGGGUCUGUCCCCGGCGAGGCACGGCAGGUAGGCCCUCACGGGCUUGCUCCGCCGUAGCCCGGAGGGCGGAGGCGAGUAAGGGUGAAAAGGUGCGGUAAGAGCGCACCGCGUCGCCCGCCGAAGCGGGUCAGCGGGGGAGACCCCGGUGAACCCGCGAAGGCAGGCCGCGGGCCGGCCCGGUUCGCCGAGAGGCGGAUCGGCGCCACCCGCGUGCGGCAACGCAGGCGGCACGCAAAACCCCGCACGGAGCAAGGCCAAAUAGGGAGGCGCCAUCAGGACGGCCCGUCCGACCGCCUUCGCCAAGGCUACGGUUCGCCGUAGCGGCGGCGGAGGCGAACGCCUCCGGGUAGGUUGCUGGAGCCCGCCAGUAAUGGCGGGCCUAGAGGAAUGGUCGUCCCGCCGUAGCGGGCGCGUCAGCGCCCGCGAAGGCGGACAGAAUUCGGCUUACGGUCUCCCUGCGGCA